This 2422-nucleotide long non-coding RNA is filed under the name Sus scrofa (pig). RNAcentral describes it as "lncRNA (ENSSSCG00030046208.1)". The record is from RNAcentral. Lineage: Eukaryota; Metazoa; Chordata; Mammalia; Artiodactyla; Suidae.
CAAAGAGUUAAAGAAUCACUCAUCCUUGGAAUUUUGCAAACUUCAAGAGCAAUUUCAGUGAGCAGUACAGGAGAAAUCAGAUUUCAGAAUGCUAAAUGAGUAUAAACUAAGAAAUUGAGAACAGAGAGAAGUGGGCUCAAAAGAGAAGGAAAAAAUUAAGAUGGAUAUAAAUUAAAAGGAUGUUAUGUUCCAGGAAGGGAGAGCUUUGAAUUGGAGGGGGCUAGGUAUAAGAACUACAUUCAUUGGAUAUUUACUAUGCUUUGAUUGCUGAAUCAUGUACCUUACAUAAAUUGGGUAUUAGUUUAUUGAUCAAGUCAGAUCUUGAAGAUGAUGGAACUGGGGGAAAGGUCUAAGGAAAAAAAUGAACAGAGGAGUUGGCCUUGGGUAGCACAAGGGAUUCCUCAUUCUCCGAGACUCAAAAGAGUGGGGGAAAUAGGGGUACAGAUAUAGAUGAGGGGAAACAAAGGCUAAGUUUAUUCAUACAGAUGGCCUCAGUUUUUUUCUAUCAACUAUAAGGUAUUAGACCUUGAACAAAGAUGAGUGGUAAAGCUGGGUAUGGGACUUGAGGAAAUUGGGAAGAUUUUGAAAAAUUACUGAGAGGCUUUUCUUCUUUAUUCAAUAAGUAAUUGUUAAACACCUAUCAUGUAGGUACUGAGAAUACAUGGUCCUUUUUCUUUAGGAAGUUGCCACAUUUAAUAAAUUUUAUGCUUCUGAAGGGUAUAGAGCAUGUUAUAAUCAUUUACAUAUUUCCCAAUGGUGCAUAGCCUAAUACUUUGAGCACAGUAGGGAAAUAUUAAGGUUUUAGGUCAACUGAAUUAAAUCCAAAAGAACUCUUUAUUUUACACAAAGCCUGAGGCUCUUGGGCCAUGGACUGUUUUGGUGGGAGUCCUGUACAACUCAACAGCAGACAUGUACCAGUUGGGAAUACAGAUUGCAAUGUUUAAGAACUGAAAAUACAUUUAGAUUGGGGUUUCUCAAUGUCAGUGCUAUUGACAUUUGGAUAACUCUUUGGGGAGCUGUCUUGUAUGCUCUGGGCUUAGCUGCUCCCCCUUUGUCUACUGACUGGUGUUUGAACAAUCUCCACUUCUCCAGCAGGGAGAAAUGAGGGGACUCAUGUGAUAGUUGUUCUCACCACUUAGAAGCUUUAAAUGGGAGGUUGCCCAUUUUCUUUGAUCUCUUUCUUCUUGAUCUCUUCCUUUAGAAGGUUGUCCUUACCACUAAUACUUUCCAAUGAUUGUACCUAUGUUCAUACAGCACACACAAUGCAUUGCAUCAGAUAAUGUUGGAGUUGGAACCAAAUGUCCAUGGUUUAAAACAAACUUAGCUAUAUAACCUUGGCAAAUUAACUGCAUUAUUUUGUUCUUCCAUUCUUAUAGAGUUGUUUUGAUAAUGAUAUAUGAAGGGUAGAACUUUGUAAACUAUGAUGCACUGUGAAAAAUUGAGAAUUCACAGCUCUUCUUGCCAUGGUGCUUGUGUUCAAGAUGAUUCCUCAUUUGAAGAUAACUGAUCAGGAAGACACUUUAAAGAGAAAACUAAAAAUAUUUGACUUUUUUACAUGUUGGGGAUGAGAGAAAGUCAAAGAUGCCAAAUUUUCUAGGGUUAGUGAAUGUGACAGCAAUGAAGUGAAGGUGUCAUACAUUGAAAUAAGGAUCACUGAAAAGAAGAUUUUUUUAAAAAUUGGGAUAUAAUUUGUAUAACAUAAAAUCCACUCUUUUAAACUGUACAAUUUGGUGGUUUUUUAACAUAUACAUAGAGUUGUGCAACCAUCACCACUAUCUAUUUUAGAAUAUUUUCAUCACCCAAAGGAAAUCUCAUAUCUACUAGAAAUCACGUCCCAUCCUCUCCUACCUUUCUCCUUGGGAACCAUUAAUCUAUUUUUCUCUUUAUGGAUUUGAAUAUUCUGGAAAUUUCUUAUAAAGUGUAUUAUACAAUUUGUGUCUGUCUUAUUUUACUCAUCACGAUGUUUUGAAAAUUCAUCUAUGUCGUAUCAUAUAUCUGUACUCCAUUUUUUAUGGCUGAAUAAUAUUCUAUUGUUUACCCACUCAUCAAUUGGUGGAAUUAGGAUUGUUUCCACUUUGGGGCUAUCCUGAAUAAUGUUCCAAUGAAUAUUCACACACAAAUUUUAAUGCAGACAUUUGCUUUUAUUUCUUUUGGGUGAAUAUUGAGGAGUUUAAUUGCAAGGUAUAUGGUAUCUCUAUAUUUGAAAUUUUUAGGAACUGACAAACUAUUUUUCAAAGUGGCAUAAAAAAUGAUUGAAGGAAAAUCUUAGUUAAGAGUUAACUUGAUUUUGUACAUGUUAAAUUUGGAGUGUUUGCAAGAUCCACAGAAGGCUAUUUUGGGGAGACUGAUAGCUAGUUAUAUGGGUCUUAGGCUUAGAAUAGUAUGAAUCUGAGAUGUAGAUUUUGGCAUCAUCAACAUGUAG